CCCAUUGACCCAUUGACCCCAGGGGCUCCGCCCACACCCGUUUCUGCUCCGCCCUCGCGCUCUCAUUGGCUCCGUCCCGAUUCGUGACUCCGCCCACUGGCCUGAGGGCUCAGGGGGUGACGUCACUGGAGCUGAUCCCCGAGUUCGAGCUGUGGGCGUGGCUGCUGGGGGGCGGGGCCGGGGGGCUCCUGCUCCUGCUCCUGAUUGGCUGCGGCCUGUACAAGUGCGGCUUCUUCCGGCGGAACUUCCGGAAGCGCCUGGAAGAGGGGGAGGGGCCGGAAGUGGAAGGGGAGGGGCCGGAAGCUGAAGAAAAAGGGCCGGAAGUGGAGGGGGAGGGGAUGGAAAAAGCAGAGGGGAAGCCGGAAGUGGAAGGGGAGGGACCGGAAGUGGAGGGGGAGGGGCCGGCGGGCGACACCCCUAAUGGGGAAACCCCGUCCUGAAGCCCCCUCCCCCCCCAACCGGAAGUGGGUUUUCCGGCCCCUCCCCCCCAAUAAGGAGACUUCCGGUGCCUCCAACCGGAAGUGGAUUUUCCCGUCCCUCCCCCACCCCAUUAAAGACGUUUUUGGCC
Columba livia (rock pigeon) is the source of this 568-nucleotide long non-coding RNA. RefSeq lists it as uncharacterized. Lineage: Eukaryota; Metazoa; Chordata; Aves; Columbiformes; Columbidae. The record is from RefSeq and is a predicted model, not a curated record. The transcript is spliced from 3 exons.